UACGGAGGGUGCAAGCGUUAUCCGGAUUCACUGGGUUUAAAGGGUGCGUAGGUGGGCAGGUAAGUCAGUGGUGAAAUCCCCGAGCUUAACUUGGGAACUGCCAUUGAUACUAUUUGUCUUGAAUACUGUGGAGGUUAGCGGAAUAUGUCAUGUAGCGGUGAAAUGCUUAGAUAUGACAUAGAACACCGAUAGCGAAGGCAGCUUGCUACACAAUUAUUGACACUGAGGCUCGAAAGCGUGGGGAUCAAACAGG
RNAcentral lists this ribosomal RNA (253 nucleotides) under uncultured bacterium. RNAcentral describes it as "partial 16S ribosomal RNA". It matches the Rfam family "Bacterial small subunit ribosomal RNA", at positions 524 to 776 of the family's 1533-position model. The record is from RNAcentral.